GGGCCAGGCCGAGGGAAGGCUCCGGCGCCGCCGGGGCUGCGGGAGGACUCAGCUCAAGAAGCACGGAGGUGGGAAUAGGAGCCGCGGGGGUUGUGGCGGCGCCGACGUGUCCCGCCUCCGCCUCCCGCCGCCCAGCGGAGCCCCCGGAGAACGAGCCUCCGGCGGCCACUGCUUCUUCCCCACCUCUAAAAAAAUUCAAAGGUGGAGGGGUGACGUCAUCAACACAGCGACGGAAGCGGUACCGUGAAAAAACCACCCCAGAUACUCUGGAGAAUGGUAGAGAUUGGAGAAGAACUCCACAAAUGUUGAACUGAAGAAAGAGAAAAAUAUCAGGUAGGAAACUAACACCUACAAGUCCUUUUCCCUUCCCUCUCAAAUGGUCCUGUGCAAAACUUGGGAGUUCUCCAGAGGCAGCAAACCGCCAGAAUCCCUCUCACCAGGGAAGCAGAUUUUAGAGGAACUCACAGCAGUGAGUCAGAACUCCAUGCAUAUCCAGGUACAGAGACAGAAGCCCACAG
Molecule: long non-coding RNA, 518 nt
Filed under: Dasypus novemcinctus (nine-banded armadillo)
Lineage: Eukaryota; Metazoa; Chordata; Mammalia; Cingulata; Dasypodidae
Description: lncRNA (ENSDNOG00000050989.1)
Source: RNAcentral